UUUCCGGUUGAUCCUGCCGGAGGCCAUUGCUAUCGGAAUCCGAUUUAGCCAUGCUAGUCGCACGGGUUAGACCCGUGGCGAACAGCUCAGUAACACGUGGCCAAACUACCCUGUGGACGGGGAUAAUCUCGGGAAACUGAGGCUAAUCCCCGAUAGGGCUUCCAUCCUGGAGUGGAGGAAGUCCGAAAGGUUGCGCUGCGGCACCACAGGAUGUGGCUGCGGCCGAUUAGGUAGACGGUGGGGUAACGGCCCACCGUGCCAGUAAUCGGUACGGGUGAUGAGAGUCAGAGCCCGGAGACGGUAUCUGAGACAAGAUACCGGGCCCUACGGGGCGCAGCAGGCGCGAAACCUUUACACUGCACGACAGUGCGAUAGGGGGAUUCCGAGUGCGAGGGCAUACAGUCCUCGCUUUUCUGGAUCGUAAGGAGAUGCAAGAAUAAGGGCUGGGCAAGACCGGUGCCAGCCGCCGCGGUAAUACCGGCAGCCCGAGUGAUGGCCGAUAUUAUUGGGCCUAAAGCGUUCGUAGCCGGCCAGUCAAGUCUGUUGGGAAAUCCACGCGCUCAACGCGUGGGCGUCCAGCGGAAACUGACUGGCUUGGGGCCGGAGGACUCGAGGGGUACGUCCGGGGUAGGAGUGAAAUCCCGUAAUCCUGGACGGACCACCGGUGGCGAAAGCGCCUCGAGAGGACGGACCCGACGGUGAGGAACGAAAGCCAGGGUCUCGAACCGGAUUAGAUACCCGGGUAGUCCUGGCCGUAAACAAUGUCUGCUAGGUGUGGCGCAGGCUACGAGCCUGCGCUGUGCCGCAGGGAAGCCGUGAAGCAGACCGCCUGGGAAGUACGUCCGCAAGGAUGAAACUUAAAGGAAUUGGCGGGGGAGCACUACAACCGGAGGAGCCUGCGGUUUAAUUGGACUCAACGCCGGACAUCUCACCGGCACCGACAACAGUAAUGACGGUCAGGUUGAUGACCUUACUCGAGCUGUUGAGAGGAGGUGCAUGGCCGCCGUCAGCUCGUACCGUGAGGCGUCCUGUUAAGUCAGGCAACGAGCGAGACCCGCAUCCUUAGUUGCCAGCAACGCCAUUGGUGGUUGGGUACACUAGGGAGACUGCCGCUGCUAAAGCGGAGGAAGGAACGGGCAACGGUAGGUCAGUAUGCCCCGAAUGUGCCGGGCAACACGCGGGCUACAAUGGCCGGGACAAUGGGAUGCUAUCCCGAGAGGGAACGCUAAUCCCCUAAACCCGGUCGUAGUUCGGAUUGAGGGCUGCAACCCGCCCUCAUGAAGCUGGAUUCGGUAGUAGUCGCGUGUCAGUAGCGCGCGGCGAAUACGUCCCUGCUCCUUGUACAC
This 1346-nucleotide ribosomal RNA is filed under the name uncultured haloarchaeon MSP23. RNAcentral's name for it is "16S ribosomal RNA". It matches the Rfam family "Archaeal small subunit ribosomal RNA". The record is from RNAcentral. Lineage: Archaea; Methanobacteriati; Methanobacteriota.